RNAcentral lists this ribosomal RNA (286 nucleotides) under Blastocystis hominis. RNAcentral's name for it is "partial 18S ribosomal RNA". It matches the Rfam family "Eukaryotic small subunit ribosomal RNA", at positions 42 to 348 of the family's 1831-position model. RNAcentral also lists the same sequence under 1 other name. Lineage: Eukaryota; Bigyra; Opalinata; Blastocystidae. The record is from RNAcentral.
GAUUAAGCCAUGCAUGUGUAAGUAUAAAUAGUUAACUUUGAAACUGCGAAUGGCUCAUUAUAUCAGUUAUAGUUUAUUUGAUGAAGAAUACUAAUUGGAUAACCGUAGUAAUUCUAGAGCUAAUACAUGUAUAAAGUCUUGUAGACUGCAUUUAUUAGAAUGAAAACCAUAGGUUUCGGCCUAUUCGUGAGUAAUAAUAACUAAUCAUAUCGUAUGCUUACGUAACGAUGUGUCUUUCAAGUUUCUGCCCUAUCAGCUUUCGAUGGUAGUGUAUUGGACUACCAUG